This 407-nucleotide ribosomal RNA is filed under the name uncultured bacterium. Its description in RNAcentral is "partial 16S ribosomal RNA". It matches the Rfam family "Bacterial small subunit ribosomal RNA", at positions 30 to 526 of the family's 1533-position model. The record is from RNAcentral.
AUUGAACGCUGGCGGUAGGCCUAACACAUGCAAGUCGAGCGGAGCGGCGGACGGGUGAGUAAUGCCUAGGAAUCUGCCUGGGAGCGGGGGAUAACGUCCGGAAACGGGCGCUAAUACCGCAUACUAUCAGAUGAGCCUAGGUCGGAUUAGCUAGUUGGUGGGGUAAAGGCCUACAAAGGCGACGACCCGUAACUGGUCUGAGAGGAUGAUCAGUCCCACUGGAACUGAGACACGGUCCAGACUCCUACGGGGGGCAGCAGUGGGGAAUAUUGGACAAUGGGCGAAAGCCUGAUCCAGACAGGCCGCGUGUGUGAAGAAGGUCUUCGGAUUGAAAAGCACUUUAAGUUGGGAGACGUUACCUACAGAAGAAGCACCGGCUAACUUCGUGCCAGCAGCCGCGGUAAUAC